RNAcentral lists this ribosomal RNA (554 nucleotides) under uncultured Gammaproteobacteria bacterium. RNAcentral describes it as "bacterial SSU rRNA". It matches the Rfam family "Bacterial small subunit ribosomal RNA", at positions 97 to 646 of the family's 1533-position model. The record is from RNAcentral. Lineage: Bacteria; Pseudomonadati; Pseudomonadota; Gammaproteobacteria.
GGCGGACGGGUGAGUAAUGCAUAGGAAUUUGCCUUGAAGUGGGGGAUAGCCCGGAGAAAUCCGGAUUAAUACCGCAUGUGCUCUACGGAGCAAAGUGGACCUCUGAUUUAAGUUCACGCUUUGAGAUAAGCCUAUGUCGGAUUAGCUAGUUGGUAGGGUAAAAGCCUACCAAGGCGACGAUCCGUAGCUGGUUUGAGAGGAUGAUCAGCCACACUGGGACUGAGACACGACCCAGACUCCUACGGGAGGCAGCAGUGGGGAAUAUUGGACAAUGGGCGCAAGCCUGAUCCAGCAAUGCCGCGUGUGUGAAGAAGGCCUGCGGGUUGUAAAGCACUUUUAUCGGGAAAGAAAAUCACAGGGUUAAUACCCCUGUGCCUUGACGGUACCCGAAGAAUAAGCACCGGCUAACUCAGUGCCAGCAGCCGCGGUAAUACUGAGGGUGCAAGCGUUAAUCGGAAUUACUGGGCGUAAAGCGAGUGUAGGCGGCUCCGUAAGUCGGAUGUGAAAGCCCCGGGCUUAACCUGGGAAUUGCAUUCGAUACUGCGCGGCUAGAG